CCUAUAGCGGUGCGUCAUAUAAUUUUUUCGAUGGUGCCGUCUGUACCUUCUGUAGCAGUGCCCCCACAGAAUCCUACUUUGAUUGUGGCUCUGCAGCUACCACUUCAAUCAGAGCCGCAGGCACCUCCUCAAAGUCCGAAGAGGAGGUUUGACUCAUCAAAGUCGCCUUAGGGCCCAGCAGCCAGCCCGAUGGGGAUCUCCAAGCCCAUAGUCGGGCCAUAACUCAACCCCC
RNAcentral lists this long non-coding RNA (232 nucleotides) under Elaeis guineensis (African oil palm). Its description in RNAcentral is "long non-coding RNA (EGUI_LNC053604)". The record is from RNAcentral. Lineage: Eukaryota; Viridiplantae; Streptophyta; Magnoliopsida; Arecales; Arecaceae.